AAUUAACAAAGCAACCAAUUUUAUAAAUAAUCGGUCAUGCACAAGGAAAUACUAGCACAAUCCUUCAUUCAAUAAUCAAGAUAAACCUACAAUCAUGUACAAGACAUCGCACACAAUACAAUCAUACUCAAUAUCUAUGCUACCAUCAAUUUUAUACAUUCCAUUCGGUCAAGAAAAAAACGAAAAUUUUCAUCCUGUUACUCUACACACUAGGUUUAGAAUCCAACAACUUCGGUCCGGACUUCGUCCCUACAUCAUCUGUAAAAAUGAAAGAGUGAGUUCAUUUAACUCAGUACAGUAAAACUCAAAAUACAAGUGUGAAAUGCAACAAUAUAAAACCAUAUGCCUUUACCAACAGUUCACUACUGAACUCCAGUUUCCCCUCCUGUACCUACAAUCCUACCUACCCAGGGUUUCCAUUCCCUGACGGCACUCCAGGCGUGCCAGUGAUACCAUCCACCGCCAAGGUCGGCGACCAUUAACCACUUAUCGACCCCUAUUGGGCCACACACGCACACUAUUUUCAAUCAUUUUCGUCACCUUCAUCAGCGACUAUUAUUCACCUACCGACCCCUAUCGGGCAACAUACACACACUCUAAUCAUUCUCUCUCGUCACCACCAUCGGCGACCGUUAGCCAUCUAUCGACUUAUACCAGGCCACUCACACACACCCUGAUCAUUCUCUCUCGUCACCUAUAUCAGCGACCACUAGCCAUCUCUCGACCCAUACCAGGCCACGUACGCACACCAUUUUCAUUCACUUGUGUCACCAACAUCGACGACCAUUAGCCAUCUCUCGACCUAUACCAGGCCACUCACACACACUCUGAUCAUUCUCUUCCGUCACCGAUAUCGGCGACCACUAACCAUCUCUCGACCCAUACCAGACCACGUACGCACACCAUUUUCAUUCACUUGUGUCACCAACAUCGACGACCAUUAGCCAUCUCUCGACCUAUACCAGGCCACUCACACACACUCUGAUCAUUCUCUCCUGUCACCGAUAUCGGCGACCACUAACCAUCUCUCGACUUAUACCAGGCCACGCACGCACACCAUUUUCAUUCACUUGCAUCACCAACAUCGGCAACCAUCGUCCACCUAUCGACCCCCAUCGGGCCACACACACACACACUACUCAUUCUCUCCCAUUGCCUCUCUCCGCUCGCUACCUGCGACAUGUCCUAGGUGCCCCUACUCACACCGUCCUUCUCCCCCAAGGCUCCAGCUACCCCACUCCACUCCUUCAAGCAUCUCACUCACCCGGCGGACCCUUCCUUUCCCUAGCAUUCACUCACUGCCUCUCCCUAUCUCUCGCUCGGACUACAUCUUCCCGCCACACCAUCUUUCUCACCUCACUCACCCCGCGGAUCCUUCCCUUCCCCAGCGUUCACCCACUGCCUCUCCCUAUCUCUCUCUCGGACUACGUCCUCACGCCACAACAUCUUUCUAUCUCCUCCCGAGUUACUCACACCACCCUUUCCCUCUCCCACAGCUCACUAACCUCAUACCUCUUCCUCUCUCCUCCCGCGUUGCUCGUACAACCUGCUCACUCUCACACAAUUCACACACAUCUUUCUCUCUUUCCCCGCGUUGCUCACACAACUCGUUCCCUCUCACACCGCUCACUAACCUCACACAUCUUCCUCUCUCCUCCCACGUUGCUCACACAACCCGCUCUCUCUCACACAGUUCACACACCUCUUUCUCUCUCCUGACCUCCACUCACUCCACACUCCUAUCUCUCUCCCAACCUCCACCCGUGCCGGCACCUUCUCCCUCUCUCCUCCCGUGAUUCUCAUGCGGCCAAUUUCCUUCCACCCGCCUUGCUACACAUACUCACCCUACACGGCCUCCUCCGUACACCGCUACUUCCGUAAGCCGUGACCACGCACGCCGAAUAUCCAAACAUUUCAAACUCAAAUCAACACACGUAUUUGAAGUUUGUUAUCGUAC
This 1957-nucleotide long non-coding RNA is filed under the name Carica papaya (papaya). RNAcentral describes it as "long non-coding RNA (CPAP_LNC006599)". Lineage: Eukaryota; Viridiplantae; Streptophyta; Magnoliopsida; Brassicales; Caricaceae. The record is from RNAcentral.